This 440-nucleotide ribosomal RNA is filed under the name uncultured bacterium. Its description in RNAcentral is "partial 16S ribosomal RNA". It matches the Rfam family "Bacterial small subunit ribosomal RNA", at positions 338 to 795 of the family's 1533-position model. The record is from RNAcentral.
CCUACGGGUGGCAGCAGUGGGGAAUAUUGCACAAUGGGGGAAACCCUGAUGCAGCGACGCCGCGUGAGUGAAGAAGUAAUUCGUUAUGUAAAGCUCUAUCAGCAGGGAAGAAAAUGACGGUACCUGAGUAAGAAGCCCCGGCUAACUACGUGCCAGCAGCCGCGGUAAUACGUAGGGGGCAAGCGUUAUCCGGAUUUACUGGGUGUAAAGGGAGCGUAGACGGCAGUGCAAGUCUGGAGUGAAAGGCGAGGGCUCAACCCCCGGACUGCUCUGGAAACUGUACGGCUGGAGUGCAGGAGAGGUAAGUGGAAUUCCUAGUGUAGCGGUGAAAGGCGUAGAUAUUAGGAGGAACACCAGUGGCGAAGGCGGCUUACUGGACUGUAACUGACGUUGAGGCUCGAAAGCGUGGGGAGCAAACAGGAUUAGAUACCCCAGUAGUC